This is a long non-coding RNA of Patella vulgata (common limpet), 2890 nucleotides long. RefSeq lists it as uncharacterized. Lineage: Eukaryota; Metazoa; Mollusca; Gastropoda; Patellidae. The transcript is spliced from 4 exons. The record is from RefSeq and is a predicted model, not a curated record.
ACGUGUGCAAUAAUUUCAACCACCGUACUGGUUGUUCGAAGCUAAGUCUCGCUCCUCCAUUUUUCGCUUAAAUCAAAAUAUGGCUGAACCAUUCUAAUCUAUUUAACAUCGGAGAAAUCUGUUGCCAUCGAGAGUUGAUUAAGGCCUGGAUCAGUUAAUUAAUGUCUAAUUAAUAGUUUAGAAAACAUUUCAGGCCUAAAGAAAGACCUGCAAUAAGCAGAUUUAGCUCUUGCAUAAUGCAUGUUUUAACUACAGAUUAUUUAAAAUAAACAUAUUUAUUUUCAGGGAUAUCACAAGCUACGUACAGAAGAGCUGUGAAAGGUUUAGAAGAGAUAGCAUGGAAAUGUGUAUCGUGUUUAAACGCCUAUCCUGCUGUUGCCGAGGUUUUUUUGUCGGACGACGACAUGGAAACGAAUGAAACCAGUACCGGGUUUGAUUUCGCUCCUGAUGAAGGCCCGAACGUAUCCAACACCCCUAAUGGAGAAUCCUUUACAGUAGAUCGGUCUAUCACGCUACCAGAACCCAUAUUAGACGAUUCCAUCGAGGAAGACGCUCCGGUGUUUGAUGUCGCUCCUGAAGAAGGUCCGAGAUAUACUGUUGUUUCCGAGGCAUCAAAGAGGGGUCAACCCAAGUUACUGGACAGAGAGGGUUAUUCCUACACGUUUAAGAAACAAUCCACCAAUGGAAAUAAACACUGGAGGUGCAGCUAUCGCCAGAAACAUUUAUACUGCCCCGCAACAGUGAUACAAACCGCCGACAUUUUUCUCCUGGGUUUAAAGGACCAUGUCCAUUCCGCGGAGCCCGGUAUACAUAUUGCCAUCAACAUUACGGCAGAAGUUCGAAAGAAUUCCGAUAAGGACAUGUUUACGACGUCGGCCCCUUGUUACGUCAAGCAAGUGUACGGAAAAUUGGGAUCUGACACUGUGCCCCAUUACAGCCGUCCAAAACUUGGUAAUUUGGUUAGGGCCGUGAAUCGACAAAGACAGGCUAUACGGACAAAAAGAUCAGGACAAGUCGGCUAUUGAGAGAAUGCGCUUUUAUGUAUGGUCCAUCUGUGGAAGCAUCCGAAUAAAAUUGUAUGUAUUGAUAAUUUUAAAGGGCUUAUACCCGAUAUUUUUUUGGAGAAUAAAACUGCUUUAUUUUAUGUUAUUAUAAUCCCUUAAAAGCCUUUAUAUUUGUGAUAAGUUUUCGAAAAUCUGGAAACGGAGACUGGUGUAACAAGUUGUAUUAUGCAAUGUCUGGAUAAAACCAGACUUUUAUUUUAUAAAAAAAAAUAAUGUGUAGGUGAAAUCUAUCAAGUGCAGCACAUGAGGCAUUUACUGUAUAGACCUCUCAAGGAACGGGAAUCGAUUAUCAGGUCAUCCAAGUUCCAACGAACAAAUUGACCCGAAAUCUUAAAACGGUUACGUGUCCGUAUAAACAGUUUUGACGUUCACGUCCAAACGACUCAAUAUUUUGAGCUGGAAUUUUGAGACAAGGUAACUACACCCUUCCUCUAUAAUUCGACGCUUUAAUUUCAUACGUACACCGACUUUUAUUUUUAAGACUCUAUUCAAAUCGGGAUAGUGAUUAUUAAUAAACUUGCUGUUAAUUGCGCUUCAGUUUGGAUGUCAAAUAUGCUAUACUACAUGUACUGAUGCACCAAAAGCGAUUGUCAUUGCUACCAUUGUGACGAUAGUAAAACAGAGUCUCCAUCCAUUAAAUUGAAUUAUUCAUGGUAUUUAAAUCCAUUGCAAAUUUGAUGAUUCGAUGACAUCGACAGCUGAUUAUGACCUUGGGAAGUUAAUUAAUGUCUAAUUAAACAUUUAUUAUGCAAGAGCUAAAUCUGCCUAUUGCAGGCCUUUCUUUGGGCCUGAAAUGUUAUCUAACUAAACUAUUAAUUAGACAUUUAUUAACAAAACAAGACAAGACCAUAAUCAACUCUCGAUGGCAUCGGAUACUCGUGAGUUUAAAUAGAUUAGAACGGUUCGCUAUUUAAAAGUUUAAUUUAAAAAUGGGAAAGCGACGCUAAGUCGCGAAUAUACCAGUGCCCUGGUUACCACUAUGCACGCAACUUGUCAAAACUACGAACUGAUAAUUUAGCUCAGAAGGAAGUAAUUUGAAUGAAAUUUCCAAUAUUCUCUAUUUUAAUCAUCUAUUUUUGAAUUAUUAUAGCAAGAAUGACCAACUAUUUUUUAAACUCGUAACUAAUGUAUCUUUAAUCAUUUAUAUAAAAUUCUAAUUUGUGUUUUUAAUUUCAAAUAUAGAAAAUAUAGAGUUAUUACAGAUGGUUUAACCACUUUAUUCAUAGGGUAGGCCUACAUUACAUAAUUGUUUUCAGGAUUUAUACUGAAUACAGAUCAUUAAUGUUUCAUUUCUUUUCAAGGGUUUAUAACUUUUAUAUUUUAGCUUAGUUUUCUGUUAUAGAGAUACAGCUUCAUCUGAUAAAAUAAUUUGUAGUUUUAAUUUUUAAGGUUUAUUAACUUUUUAUGUUUCAGCAUAUAAUUUUUUUAUUUCAGGACUAUACUGAAAUGCACUUCCUUGAAUCCCCAGUAUUUAAAAAAACAUUUAGUAAACUUUUUACUCUCAGGGUCUUGGAGUGUAUUCCAGUAUGGUCUUUACGUUCAAGUGGCAGUGUUUGGGUUUGUGAACGUAAAGGCCACAACCACAUUACUGCUGGCGGUCCAGUUUAUGACCACUACUGCCGCUUUUGUGAUUAUGGUCUUUAUGGUUCUUGCUGAUUUCCUAACCACUAAUUUAUUGAAUCUUUGUAAAUGAUAUAUAGAGAGAUAUGUAGCUCACUUUACUUACUCCAUCUAUCCCAGAUUCAACAUGUUGAAAACCAAAAGUAUAAGUUUUAAUUCAUUUAUUUUUCUGCAAAGUUGUUUAAUUUUACAAACUGUAUAAUAAU